RNAcentral lists this transfer RNA (73 nucleotides) under Tropidophorus hangnam. RNAcentral's name for it is "tRNA-Phe". Lineage: Eukaryota; Metazoa; Chordata; Lepidosauria; Squamata; Scincidae. The record is from RNAcentral.
GUUAUUGUAGUUUAACAAAUUAAAGCCCAGCCCUGAAAAAUGCUAAGAUGGAAAUUAAAAUUUCCCAAAAACC